This 70-nucleotide transfer RNA is filed under the name Lindsaea linearis. RNAcentral's name for it is "tRNA-Arg". The record is from RNAcentral. Lineage: Eukaryota; Viridiplantae; Streptophyta; Polypodiopsida; Polypodiales; Lindsaeaceae.
UAGUUGGUUGCUCGGUGGGGGUAAUGAUUCCAACUUAUGGACUUAGGGGGUUCAAAUCCCUACCAAUUCG